This 301-nucleotide ribosomal RNA is filed under the name uncultured bacterium. RNAcentral's name for it is "partial 16S ribosomal RNA". It matches the Rfam family "Bacterial small subunit ribosomal RNA", at positions 509 to 807 of the family's 1533-position model. The record is from RNAcentral.
CAGCCGCCGCGGUAAUACGGAGGGAGCUAGCGUUGUUCGGAAUUACUGGGCGUAAAGCGCGCGUAGGCGGUUACUCAAGUCAGAGGUGAAAGCCCGGGGCUCAACCCCGGAGCUGCCUUUGAAACUAGGUGACUAGAAUCUUGGAGAGGUCAGUGGAAUUCCGAGUGUAGAGGUGAAAUUCGUAGAUAUUCGGAAGAACACCAGUGGCGAAGGCGACUGACUGGACAAGUAUUGACGCUGAGGUGCGAAAGCGUGGGGAGCAAACAGGAUUAGAUACCCCCGUAGUCCCUGUCUCUUAUAC